UACGUAGGGUGCGAACGUUGUUCGGAAUCACUGGGCAUAAAGAGCACGUAGGCGGUCUAGAAAGUCCUCUGUGAAAGCCCCCGGCUUAACCGGGGAAUUGCAGGGGAUACUGCUGGACUAGAGUACAGGAGGGGGGAGCGGAAUUCCUGGUGGAGCGGUGAAAUGCGUAGAUAUCAGGAGGAACGCCGGCGGCGAAAGCGGCUCUCUGGUCUGUUACUGACGCUGAGGUGCGAAAGCUAGGGGAGCAAACGGG
Molecule: ribosomal RNA, 253 nt
Filed under: uncultured bacterium
Lineage: Bacteria
Description: partial 16S ribosomal RNA
Rfam family: Bacterial small subunit ribosomal RNA
Source: RNAcentral